CUGCAAGUCGAACGCGUUGGCCCUAAUUGAUUGAUGGUGCUUGCACCUGAUUGAUUUUGGUCGCCAACGAGUGGCGGACGGGUGAGUAACACGUAGGUAACCUGCCCAGAAGCGGGGGACGACAUUGUGAGAUACAUGUACGCUAAUACAGCAUAACAGCGUGGUUCUCUUGAACAACGCUUAUAAGAUGGAUUCUCUCUAUCACUUCAUGGAUGGACCUGCGGUGCAUUAUGUUGUUGGUGGGGUACACGGCCUACCAAGGCGAUGACGCAUAGCCGAGUUGAUAGACUGAUCGGCCACUAUGGGACUGAGACACGGCCCAUACUCCUACGGGAGGCAGCAGUAGGGAAUCUUCCACAAUGGGCGCAAGCCUGAUGGAGCAACACCGCGUGAGUGAAGAAGGGUUUCGGCUCGUAAAGCUCUAAAAUAACAGAUAGAACACGUAUGAGAGGAACUGUUCAUACGUUGACGGCAUUUAACCACAUAUCUCGGGUAACUACGUGCCAGCAGCCGCGGGAGUACGUAGGUGUCAAGCGUUAUUCCGGAUUUAUUGGGCGUAAAGAGAGUGCAGGCGGUUUUCUAAGUCUGAUGUGAAAGCUUCGGAUAAACCGUAUAAGAGCUUCGGAAACUGGAGACUUGAGUGCAGAAGAGCUCCUGUAACUCCAUGUGUAGCGUGGAAUGUGUAGAUAUAUGCAAGAACACCAGUGGCUAAUGUGCUACCUGGGUCUGCAUCUGACUCUAAGACUCGAAGCAUGCGUAGCGAACAGACUAGAUACCUGUCAGACAUGACGAAACGAUGAGUGCUAGGUGUUGCCGCUUUCCGCCUUCAGUGCCGGAGCUAACGCAUUAAGCACUCCGCCUGGGGAGUACGACCGCAAGGUUGAGCAAGGUAAAUCAAGGAGUCACGCAGCCGCACAACUGUGGAUAUGUGAUUAUUCGAAGCUACGCGAAGAACCUUACCAGGUCUUGACAUCUUGCGCCAACCCUAGAGAUAGGGCGUUUCCUUCGGGAACGCAAUGACAGGUGGUGCAUGGUCGUCGUCAGCUCUUGUCGUGAGAUGUUGGGUUAAG
Molecule: ribosomal RNA, 1070 nt
Filed under: Limosilactobacillus fermentum
Lineage: Bacteria; Bacillati; Bacillota; Bacilli; Lactobacillales; Lactobacillaceae
Description: bacterial SSU rRNA
Rfam family: Bacterial small subunit ribosomal RNA
Source: RNAcentral